AGGAUUGGAAGAAAUGUUAUGUAAUUUCUUCCUCAAAUGUAAGACUAAUCAUAUAAACUAUAGCUUUUACACUGUUGGUUCAGUUAGAAACAAUGAUACAUCUCUAGAAUUCAGUUAAAGAGGGAUUCUUGGUCUAGCCCAGUAGUUCUCAAAUCAAGAUGCAUAUUACCACUGCCUGGAGGCUUUUUAAUAAAUACUAACAGCAGGUUUCCAUCUUCAGAUACCCUAAUGUGUGACCUAGUCAUCAAUAUUAAAGCUUCUCAGGUACUUUUAAUGUGCAGCAAAGGUUGAGAACUUUUAGUCUAGACUAUAUCUGAAGUCUGUAGCCAUCUAACACAGAUUUUAAUUCUCAUUUAUCAGCAUCAUCUAGAACAAUCUUCUUAAUCUUUAUUCCAUAUUUUUCUUUCAUGUAGUCACAAGUCUAUGACUUUUGUUAUAGUUAAUUACUACAUUAAAUUAUAUCUUUGGUUAA
RNAcentral lists this long non-coding RNA (472 nucleotides) under Homo sapiens (human). Its description in RNAcentral is "HSALNT0079994". Lineage: Eukaryota; Metazoa; Chordata; Mammalia; Primates; Hominidae. The record is from RNAcentral.